This 738-nucleotide ribosomal RNA is filed under the name uncultured bacterium. Its description in RNAcentral is "bacterial SSU rRNA". It matches the Rfam family "Bacterial small subunit ribosomal RNA", at positions 50 to 805 of the family's 1533-position model. The record is from RNAcentral.
AACACAUGCAAGUCGAUUCGAUUUACCUUCGUGUAUUGAUGAUGGCGGACGGGAGAGUAACACGGAAGAAACUUGCCUCUUGGACUGCCACAACUGGGGGAAACAACAGCUAAUACCAGAUAUUAUGACACUCUCGCCCGAGAAACUAAAGAAAGCUAUCUGCGCCAAUAGAGAGCCUUGCUUUCCAUUAGCUAGAUGGUGGAGUAGUGGCCCACCAGGGCCACCAUGGAUACCCGGCCUGAGAGGGAGAACAGCAACACGGGGACUGAGACACCGACCUUACUCCCACAGCACCGCCGAGUGGGGAAUAUUGGACAAUGGGCCCACAAGCCUGAUCCAGCAAUUCUGUGUGCACGAUGAAGGUCUUCGGAUUGUAAAGUGCUUUCAGUUGGGAAGAAGAAAGCGACGGUACCAACAGAAGAAGCGACGGCUAAAUACGUGCCAGCAGCCGCGGUAAUACGUAUGUCGCAAGCGUUAUCCGGAUUUAUUGGGCGUAAAGCGCGUCUAGGCGGAAAAAUAAGUCUGAUGUUAAAAUGCGGGGCUCAACUCCGUAUUGCGUUGGAAACUGUUUUUCUAGAGUACUGGAGAGGUGGGCGGAACUACAAGUGUAGAGGUGAAAUUCGUAGAUAUUUGUAGGAAUGCCGAUGGAGAAGUCAGCUCACUGGACAGAUACUGACGCUGAAGCGCGAAAGCGUGGGGAGAAAACAGGAUUAGAUACCCUGGUAGUCCACGCCGUAA